GAUGAACGCUGGCGGCGUGCCUAAUACAUGCAAGUCGAGCGAACAGAUGAGGAGCUUGCUCCUCUGACGUUAGCGGCGGACGGGUGAGUAACACGUGGAUAACCUACCUAUAAGACUGGGAUAACUUCGGGAAACCGGAGCUAAUACCGGAUAAUAUAUUGAACCGCAUGGUUCAAUAGUGAAAGACGGUUUUGCUGUCACUUAUAGAUGGAUCCGCGCCGCAUUAGCUAGUUGGUAAGGUAACGGCUUACCAAGGCAACGAUGCGUAGCCGACCUGAGAGGGUGAUCGGCCACACUGGAACUGAGACACGGUCCAGACUCCUACGGGAGGCAGCAGUAGGGAAUCUUCCGCAAUGGGCGAAAGCCUGACGGAGCAACGCCGCGUGAGUGAUGAAGGUCUUCGGAUCGUAAAACUCUGUUAUUAGGGAAGAGCAAAUGUGUAAGUAACUAUGCACGUCUUGACGGUACCUGAUCAGAAAGCCACGGCUAACUACGUG
RNAcentral lists this ribosomal RNA (497 nucleotides) under uncultured bacterium. Its description in RNAcentral is "partial 16S ribosomal RNA". It matches the Rfam family "Bacterial small subunit ribosomal RNA", at positions 28 to 507 of the family's 1533-position model. The record is from RNAcentral.